AUACCGGCGGCUCGAGUGGUGGCCACUUUUAUUGGGCUUAAAGCGUUCGUAGCUGGGUUGUUAAGUCUCUUGGGAAAUCUGGCAGCUUAACUGUCAGGCGUCUAAGAGAUACUGGCAAUCUAGGAACCGGGAGAGGUGAGGGGUACUUCGGGGGUAGGAGUGAAAUCCUGUAAUCCUCGAGGGACCACCUGUGGCGAAGGCGCCUCACCAGAACGGCUUCGACAGUGAGGGACGAAAGCUGGGGGAGCAAACCGGAUUAGAUACCCGGGUAGUCCCAGCCGUAAACGAUGCGCGUUAGGUGUGUCGAUGACCACGAGUCAUCGAGGUGCCGAAGGGAAACCGUGAAACGCGCCGCCUGGGAAGUACGGUCGCAAGGCUGAA
Molecule: ribosomal RNA, 381 nt
Filed under: uncultured archaeon
Lineage: Archaea
Description: bacterial SSU rRNA
Rfam family: Archaeal small subunit ribosomal RNA
Source: RNAcentral